RNAcentral lists this ribosomal RNA (143 nucleotides) under Glis glis (Fat dormouse). Its description in RNAcentral is "partial 12S ribosomal RNA". Lineage: Eukaryota; Metazoa; Chordata; Mammalia; Rodentia; Gliridae. The record is from RNAcentral.
CAAACUGGGAUUAGAUACCCCACUAUGCUUAGCCCUAAACAUAAACCCUUACUAACGCAACCGUUCGCCAGAGUACUACAAGCCACAGCUCAAAACUCAAAGGACUUGGCGGUGCUUUAUAUCCCUCUAGAGGAGCCUGUUCU